This 250-nucleotide ribosomal RNA is filed under the name uncultured Actinomycetales bacterium. RNAcentral describes it as "partial 16S ribosomal RNA". It matches the Rfam family "Bacterial small subunit ribosomal RNA", at positions 84 to 334 of the family's 1533-position model. Lineage: Bacteria; Bacillati; Actinomycetota; Actinomycetes; Actinomycetales. The record is from RNAcentral.
GGGGUGCUCGAGUGGCGAACGGGUGAGUAACACGUGAGUAACCUGCCCUUGACUUUGGGAUAACUUCAGGAAACUGGGGCUAAUACCGGAUAGGAGCUCCUGCUGCAUGGUGGGGGUUGGAAAGUUUCGGCGGUUGGGGAUGGACUCGCGGCUUAUCAGCUUGUUGGUGGGGUAGUGGCUUACCAAGGCUUUGACGGGUAGCCGGCCUGAGACGGGUGACCGGCCACAUUGGGACUGAGAUACGGCCCAG